RNAcentral lists this unclassified non-coding RNA (403 nucleotides) under soil metagenome. RNAcentral describes it as "partial contains 5.8S ribosomal RNA, internal transcribed spacer 2, and large subunit ribosomal RNA". The stretch from base 1 to 122 matches the Rfam family "5.8S ribosomal RNA", at positions 35 to 154 of the family's 154-position model. The record is from RNAcentral.
GAUGAAGAACGUAGCAAAAUGCGAUACUUGGUGUGAAUUGCAGAAUCCCGUGAACCAUCGAGUUUUUGAACGCAAGUUGCGCCCGAAGCCUUUUGGCCGAGGGCACGUCUGCCUGGGCGUCACGCAUCGCGUCGCCCCCCACAAUUCUCCGUAAAGGGAACAUGUGUUUUGGGGGCGGAUAUUGGUCUCCCGUGCUCAUGGCGUGGUUGGCCGAAAUAGGAGUCCUUUCGAUGGACGCACGAACUAGUGGUGGUCGUAAAAACCCUCGUCUUUUGUUUCGUGCUGUUGCUCGCAAGGUAAACUCUUUAAAAACCCCAAUGUGUCGUCUCUUGACGACGCUUCGACCGCGACCCCAGGUCAGGCGGGACUACCCGCUGAGUUUAAGCAUAUAAUAAGCGGAGGA